UACGAAGGGUGCAAGCGUUACUCGGAAUUACUGGGCGUAAAGGGCUCGUAGGUGGCCAACUAAGUCAGACGUGAAAUCCCUCAGCUUAACUGGGGAACUGCGUCUGAUACUGGAUGGCUUGAGUUUGGGAGAGGGAUGCGGAAUUCCAGGUGUAGCGGUGAAAUGCGUAGAUAUCUGGAGGAACACCGGUGGCGAAGGCGGCAUCCUGGACCAACACUGACACUGAGGAGCGAAAGCCAGGGGAGCAAACGGG
This 253-nucleotide ribosomal RNA is filed under the name uncultured bacterium. RNAcentral describes it as "partial 16S ribosomal RNA". It matches the Rfam family "Bacterial small subunit ribosomal RNA", at positions 524 to 776 of the family's 1533-position model. The record is from RNAcentral.